Long non-coding RNA from Aedes albopictus (Asian tiger mosquito), 6219 nucleotides. RefSeq lists it as uncharacterized. The record is from RefSeq and is a predicted model, not a curated record. The transcript is spliced from 2 exons. Lineage: Eukaryota; Metazoa; Arthropoda; Insecta; Diptera; Culicidae.
CGCCAUUAUUGAUAGGAAGUUAUAAAGUUAUCCGCGCUCAUGUGUUUAGUUUGUCCGCGAGUUCCUCUAGUGUCCUUAGGGAAAGCCAUGGCGUAUCCCAAACCGCGAUCGCGAUUACUACUCCAUUGUCGCUUUCGGCACUACCGGAAAGAUCUGGACUUAACAGAUACUGGCACCACCAGGAAGAUGCAUCGAACCAGUUCCUGCUAGAAAGAUGAUCCGAACUUCACAGAUUUCAGCACCGCCGGAAAGAUCUAGUCAGUUCCUGCUGCAGAAGUGAUCCGAUCAAGGAUCGGACUCCGGCUCCGGUGCAACAUCAUGCAACGAUGAACGAACCGUAGGAGUCUCCGUGCAAUAAGCCUGGUGCUAAUUAUCUCCGACUAAUAUAGUUCAGAGUAAGAUUUACAUGUAUUUUAGAUAAGGAUAAAGUUAAUAAAUUUAUUAUGUGAACUGUUUUACUCUACUAAACUUAUUACAUUUUUCUUAUUCAUCGCAAUUGAAAAAAAAAACAAAAACAAUUUCAAAUAUGCCUUGACAAAUAUAUUUGAUAUAUGCAUUCCAAUGCAAAACUCCAAUGUAUGAAUUGAAUGAAUAACCACCAAAAUAUGCAUUCGAAAGGGUGGGCAGAUCGAAUAUGCUUUUAGUAAAGAUUUUAUGCAUUUUAGCAUUUUCCAAUCUCUCCGUGUACCCGGAUUUUUAUGUUGUUAGCAGUUGUCAAAAUCCGGGUUACCCGAAAACCCAGAUUUCUUGAAUCUGGGUAAUCGGCACUUUGUCAUUUUCCGGCUUGAGAAUAUGGCAGCGGUUAGGAGAACGCUGGAAAUUAAGGAUGUUUCCGCGAAAAAUAUGCUAAUAAACCUGAUAAAAAAGUCCAAUAAAAUCACCAUAAACAACCAUUGAAUAAUGAUAAAUUUGUCUGUUCAACAAUAAAUUAUAUUGUGUACGUAUUUUUUAUUUAUUUAUAUAUUAUAAUUCAUCUGACAAUAUUGUCUUAAUGAAUAAUGUUACGUACUAGCUACAAUGAAUUUAAUCUUCUAAUUUUACUGACAAAUUUACUUGUGGACACACCGAAUUCAAACGAGGACUCUACAGAACUAAACAUACGAAUCAUUGCACAGAUGGGUUGAUUGUAGCCGUAAUUCGAUCGAAUUGCAUCAAGCGACGCUGCCUUAACAUCCUACUUGGUGCUCGGAAGUCUAUCAAAGAUAGGAGAUGAGGGCAAUCAAUAUCUCCGUUGAGAAGCUGGACGAUGAAUUUGGCCUGCUGUAUCUUGCGCCUUCUGUCAAGACUUUCAAUUCCGAGCAACCGACACCUAUCAGGGUAUGGUGGCAAGUUCGCUGGGUCGCGCCAAAGUAAAUUUCUGAGAGCAAGCCGUAUAAAACGUUUUUGAACCCGCUCGAUUCUCAGAUUCCAAGUUACAUCGUUUGGUGCCCACACAACCGAAGCGUUCUCCAAGAUCGGUCGUACGAGAGAACAAUAAAGCGCUUUUAGGCAGUAUGGGUCGGUGAAAUCCUUGGCUAUUCUAGAGACAAACCCAAGCUGGCGAUUAGCUUUGGAGAUGAUCGACGAGUAGUGGGCGUUGAAGGACAGUUUUGCAUCCCCAACUAACAAUUGCAAGCCGCAAACCAGCAUGCAUGCUGAAUUGUUGCUUUAUAAUAGUAAUGAUAGCUGAACUAAAAUUAUGCUGUACACAUUACUGUACAAAUGUUUUUUUCAAGUGAAAAAGUAGCCAAUGUUCAACCUUUCGUAUCGGUAUCAACAAUUAUAAAUUUAAACACAUUUCAAGCGUUUAAUAAUAUUUUUAUUCGACUUGCAGUUAUUUCUUUACAAAAUAGUUUAACAAGACCUUUUUCUGCUUCUUGUCAAGUACAUGCAAAAAUUAGAACAUGUAUCUGUACAAUGUGUUUUUAACAAGUCAAAUAAGCGCUUUCGUUUCAUCAUACUUCGACUCAGUGUACAGGAUGAAAAACACGUGUUUUUUUUACUGAACAGCAGAUGAAUUAAUGUGGUCUUCAGUUGUUAACCAUAAACAGAACAUUAUUCACCACUGCUGAAUAGGAGUCAAAGUGUAAUCAUUAUACAACCACGGGAAGUUUAUGUUUUGAUUUGAGUGCGUCAACUCAUCAUCUCUAGGAUGGCGCAGAUAGGAAGGCAAGCGGCUGGCAAUCGAUGGGUCUCGAGUUCGAAUCUUGAUUUAGGUAAAUGUAUUUGUAGUUAUUAUUUCACAAUAGUUGUUCACAGCAUAAAGUGUCAAUCAUAAACUCUCGUAGAAAUUGAAAAAUUUUGCAUUUUAUUUUUUAAAUUCAUUCUUGCAGUAGCUGAAUAACAGCUUUACUUUGGCUUUACUACCAGUUUGUAAAAUGUUUUAAACAACAAACAGUUCAGUUGGUACACAACACUAUGCUUUAUUGUUUCUCCAAAUUUGUGUGAACUAAAACCGAACAAAGGUUGUGCCUGAAAAUUAUCCAAAUGUUAUUCAGCACCAUGCUGAAUUAAUUCGUCGUAAAGUGCUUGUAAAAAGAGUAAUUGUUAGUUGGGUCCAGUAUAACGCCCAGAUCUGUCACUUGGUCCACUCUGUUGAGGACAGAAUUGUCGAUGCGAUAGUCGAAAAUAAUUGGUUCUUUUGAGCGAUGAAAGGUCAUCACAUGACAUUUGGGAAUGCUGAUGACAAGUUUGUUCUUGCGACACCAAUUGACGAAAGUGUCCAGCAACGCUUGCAACUGAAGACAGUCCUCAAAGCAGCGCACGACGACAUAGAUUUUCAAAUCGUCAGCGUAAAUAAGUUUGCACCUGUAGCCAAGUGACGAAGCCACGUCAUUGAAGAAAAUGACGAACAGUAUCGGCCCCAGAUUGCUUCCUUGCGGUACGCCGGACGUGCUGAUGAAAGGAAGCGAAACACUAGAUCCAAGCUUUACGCGUAAUGACCUAUUAGUCAAAUAGGAAGAGAUCCCUGACACAAGACGAUUCGAAGCUCCUAGUCGUGACAGCUUGCAGAGCAACACCUUAUGAUCAAUUUUGUCGAACGCUGCUUUUAAGUCUGUGUAUUGUCUAUCCGGUUGGAAUCAAGACAGCCAUUCAAUCAAAAAUUGCCAUUUUCUUGGUUCGCAAGUGUCGCAACUGUUUCGCAUCUAGUGCGCUGAGUUGCUGACAACAACGGGAUAGAUGCGCACUACUUUUGACAUGAUUCAAAAACGUCGCGAGUUGGGUCGCGUCGCGACUUGAUUGUGCGAAGUCCGGUUUGGUGGCGGCCCGACAAUAUAUCACAUCCACUUGCGCACUUUCUUCGAAGGACGUCAAACAAGUAGUUGUUAGGUCCAACAAGUUGGUAGCAACAGACCUACCGGGAAUGAACCCGUGUUGAUCGUUUGAUAAAUGGGCUUUCGUUGCACGUAGAAUUUGAUCACUCACGAUGAUCUCAAAGAGCUUGGAGACAGCUGAAAGGCUCGUAAUCCCACGGUAGUUUUGAACAUGCCGGCGGUCACCACACUUGUAUACAGGGAACAUGUAGGAUAAUUUCCAACUCAACGGAAACUCUCCUUGCUCGAACGAACGAUUGAAGAUAAAGGACAGUGGCUCAGCUAUGGCACUUGCACAGCGACGGAGUACAACAGCAGGAAUACCGUCUGGCCCAGGAGCGAAUGAAUUCUUCAGCUUUUUAGAUGCACUAAUAACCAUUUCGGGCGUAACUGUGAAUGCAUCCAAGUCAAUUACAUCUUGAUCUUGCGGAAUGUUCGAAGCGGCCAGGGUAGCAUCGAUAUCAGAUGAGGGUACUGACUGAAAAACGGAGGCAAAAUGCCUCGCGAAAAAGUUGCAUGCUUCAAUCUCACUUGAUGACUCUAUAUUUUCGUACACUACAUUGUGGGGAAUUGACGAUUUUUUUUCUUGCUGUUGACAAAGCCCCAAAAAGAUUUCGGGUUCCGCCGUAAUCCAAACUGUACCCUUAGGACGUGGGACUUGUAUAGUGCAGCAUUCAGAUUCCUGUAUUCGUCGCUUGCUCGCUUGAAGCUGGAUUUAUUGUAACACGACUGAUGGGUGCGCAGCCUACGUUGCCAUUGGUUUCGUUGUCGUUUCAGAUGGCGAAGAAGAGGUGUACUCUAAGCGGGUGAAACAGGUUUACGCUUGACCGGAACAUGCUCGUUCAACCAUUCGCGAAAGAUGUUGCAAAAAUUCGACGCUAUGUCAUGGACAUCUAAACGUCCGUAGAUACAACUCCAGUCUAAUCCAGAAAGGUAAUCACAGAGCGCACUGAAAUCGGUUUUGCGGUAAUUUAGUCCACGUUCAUGUUCAAUCGCCGUCGGAACCGGCAUGGGACAUUCAGUCGGGAUGUUGAUGCGAACGCUGAGUGGAGGGUGGUGAUCAUCGACGGGCACCAGAGAUUCGUCGGCUACGGAAACAUCCGCACAACUGCUCUCAGUAACAAAAACCAAAUCGAGGGUGCGCUCUAGGCCAUUCCGUUGCAGAUUCACUUGAUUCAAAUUCAAGAAGGUCAUCCCAUCGAUUAACGCAGUACCCGCUGGAGUGAUGAGGGACGAGAUCGCUGGAUUUAUGUCGUUUUCACCUUGAGCCCAGGCAAUGCCUGGUUGAUUGUAAUCGCCGCACACAAAAAUGAUGUCAUCAUUGGAGGCACUGUCGCAGAGUUCACGAACGGUUGCAACAUGUUCCUCCAUCAAUUCGAUGUUACGACUUUUGUCCGGCGGAAUAUAGAUGUUGCACAACAGAAAUCGACGACCGCCGAUGUUGGCGGAAACACACACCUGCUCGAGCCCUCCUCCGUUGCACGUUGCAAUGCGACAACUACUAUGUCGCUCAGAAACAGCUAUCAACACACCUCCAAGUCCUCUCUUGUCGCUGUUCAUGGAGGAUCUUUCGCAUCGGAAAACGUUGAAUGAGGUACCAUUCCUGCUGAAAAUGCUGUAUUGGAACUACAAUACGUGCACAAUAAAAUCAAUGGUACUAGAGAUUUCACUUAUAAAAACACCAUACAUUGAAUGGUAUUGCGGAGAUUCCACCUGUUUAGACUCCUGCGCGAAAAUUAGUUGCGUGGAUUUUUCUUGCGUGGGCCCACAGAUAUAAAAACAGAUUGCGUCCUGAUGAAUAUUUUACGCUGUGUUGUUAAGUACACAUUUGGUGAUAGUUUUGCAUUGUAAACAAACAUUUAUAAUGUACCUACGCUGAAAAUGAGCCUAAUCAUUUAUUUGCGUUGGAAUCUAUAAAUCUUCGCAACGGGCAAUAGUUGACUUGAAUUUACUCCAGAAUUCUAGGAUUUUUUAUGGUAAAGAUGCAUAACAACCCCCAUUUUCUAUUGUAAAAAUGACAUUUACAAUAUAUGCUAUGGUGGAAAACCAUAUCUCUAUCGUUUUAAACAAUUGAAUUAAUAGUAAAUACCAUUCAUUUCAGCGUGUUGUAACAAUAGAUUCUGUUGUAUCUCUAUGACCUUUUUUAUCAGGGAAAUGACGGGAAAACAGAAAAAUUCUUCCGGGGAACUGUUUUCCUGCAUCAGGUAAGUGAACAGAACAUGGAUAUUAGGAGCUCUUUAUCAAAAAUGUAAAUUGGAAAUAAAAUAACAAAAUCAAGGCCCUGGAGGAGCUGGGUACCGGUUACCCAGAUUUGGCCACCAACAUCGAUAACCCAGAUUUGAGUAAAGGUGCCUUUACUCAAAUUAGAGUAACUGCAGUUUUGCUCAAUCUGGGUCGCUUUGACACCAACAUGGGUAAUACUUAUGACACACAUGUGAUACAAGAAUCACUGUACAAUUGCGCUUGAAAUGAGUGCCAUACUGAAAAUUCUCUCAGUUCAAGUCAGUCUUGUUAGAAUUUUCAUGACACUGCGUACCGUUGUACAGGAAUCAUACUCGUAUCACAUGUCUGUCUGGGGUAUUAGCGUGAUAGGAACAUUUUUGAAAUCCCAGUGUGUAUUGUAACAGUACUAUUUAAAACCAUAUUUUUACAAUAGACACCACUGUAAAAAUAAAAAUACAAAAACAAUAAAAUGUAAUGUAGAACCCAAUACAGUAUAUUGUAAAUAAGAUUUUUACAAUAUACUAUACGGGUGGUUAAGUAUCGUAACAAUAUAAAAAAAUAUUUUUCUCCAUAUAUAUUUUUUUGCAAAACCAUACAUUAUAUUGUAAAUGAAUUGUUAUAAAUACUGAUACGUGGGUUUUAAUAAACCGUACAUUGUAUGGUACACAUAUGGUUUCAAACAAUAAAAUGUACCGUAAAUAUA